GGGCCUGUAGAUUAGUCGCAGAUCGCAAAUAAUGUUGUUUCAACAUGUUGGUAAAUUGGUUCGCAAUCAAGAGGCCGCGGGUUCAAUUCCCGCCAGGUCCA
RNAcentral lists this transfer RNA (101 nucleotides) under Promethearchaeota archaeon. RNAcentral describes it as "Candidatus Lokiarchaeota archaeon (permafrost metagenome) tRNA-Ala". It matches the Rfam family "tRNA". From Rfam's summary of the family: Transfer RNA (tRNA) molecules are approximately 80 nucleotides in length. Their secondary structure includes four short double-helical elements and three loops (D, anti-codon, and T loops). The record is from RNAcentral. Lineage: Archaea; Promethearchaeati; Promethearchaeota.